UCUUAUAAGAAAGGAGUCGGUAUCAGGCACAAAUUCUUAGCCCAUAACACCUAGCAUCGCCACACCCCCAAGGGUACUCAGCAGUGAUAAACAUUAAUACUAAGCGAAAGCUUGACUCAGUUAAAGUACAAAAAGCCGGCCAACCCGGUGCCAGCCGCCGCGGCUACACCAUGGACUUAAGUUGAUAGCUUCGGCGUUAAGCGUGUUUAAAGUUAUCAAUAAUUUAGAGUUAAACCCAGACCAAGCUGUGAAAUGCUUGUCCCCAGAAACACAAAUAAACUACUUUAAUAAACACUUGAAUCCACGACAAUUAAGAAACAAACUGGGAUUAGAUACCCCACUAUGCUUAACCGUAAAAUAUACUAAUCACAUUUCCCAAUCGCCAGAGUAUUACAAGCCUAAACUUGAAACUCAAAGGACUUGACGGCGUCUUACCUACCUAGAGGAGCCUGUUCUAUAAUCGAUACUCCACGAUAUACCUCACCACUUUUUGCCUAUCAGUCUGUAUACCUCCGUCGCAAGCUUACCAUAUGAAUGUAAAUUAGUGAGCAAAAAGAUUAUUACACCUACACGUCAGGUCAAGGUGCAACCUAAAAAGUGGGAAGAAAUGGGCUACAGUUUCUAAUUUAGAACCUACGAAUAAUCAUAUGAAAAAUGAUAUUAAAGGCGGAUUUAAAAGUAAGGGGUAAAUAAAAUGUUCCCCUUAAUCAAGCAAUAAGACGCGUACACACCGCCCGUCACCCUCUUCAAUAACCUAAUCAACUGUUUAUAACAACCCCGUAUAUUAAAGAAGAGGCAAGUCGUAACAUGGUAAGCAUACUGGAAAGUGUGCUUUGAAUAACAAAAUAUAGCUUAACCUUUAAAGCACUUCGCUUACACCGAAAUUAUACCUGUUUAACCCAAGUUAUUUUGAACCUAAAACUCCGCCAACUAAUUAUCUUCUUUUUCACUUCCUAACUUAUCCCCUAAAACAUUUUAACAAUUUAGUAAAGGUGAUUGAAAAUUAAUAAGAGCCCCAUAUAAAGUACCGCAAGGGAAAAGUGAAAUAGAAAUGAAAUAAACAUUAAGUAAUUAAAAGCAGAGAUUAACACUCGUACCUUUUGCAUCAUGGUCUAACUAGUUUCAAUAAGCAAAUUAUCCAUUUAGCUUAUACCCCCGAAACCAAGCGAGCUACUUAAAAACAGCCUUAAGAGCCAACCCGUCUCUGUUGCAAAAGAGUGGGAAGAUUUUUAAGUAGAGGUGAAAUGCCUAUCGAGCCUGGAGAUAGCUGGUUGCUCAAGAAAAGAACCUUAGUUCUUCCUCAAACUUUUAUUAUGAAUCUAUACACCCAUUUGAGAACUAUUCAAAUAUGGUACAGCCUAUUUGAUAUCGAAUACAAUCAAAAAUUUAGGGUAAUGUAACCCCCCCCCCCUCAACCCAGUCGGCCUAAAAGCAGCCACCUAAACAAUAGCGUUAUAGCCUUACUAAUUUUUUUCCCAAUACCAAUAUAUACACAAAACCCCACCCUAGUAUUGAGCACUUUUAUAAUUUAUAAAUGAUAUUAUGUUAGAACUAGUAACAAGAACUCUUCUCCAAAUGUAAAUAUACUUCAAAUAUGAGCAUUAUUAUAAUGUACGUAAUAACUUCUCCAGAAACCCUUACCAUUCAACAAUAUUAAACUUACACAAGAACACUCCAGGAAAGAUUAAAAUAAAAAGAAGGAAUUCGGCAAACUUUAGUCUCGCCUGUUUACCAAAAACAUCACCUCUUGAUUCAUUAUAAGAGGCCUAGCCUGCCCAGUGAUUAUUUCAACGGCCGCGGUAUCCUAACCGUGCAAAGGUAGCACAAUCACUUGUUCUCUAAAUAGGGACUCGUAUGAAAGGCAUCACGAAGACCAUGCUGUCUCCUUUUUACAAUCAGUGAAACUGAUCUCCCCGUGAAGAAGCGGGAAUCAUUUUAUAAGACGAGAAGACCCUAUGAAGCUUUAAAUUUAAUAUCCAACUGUCACCUAAUAUCACUAUAAUUUGACAAAUCUGGUUACCAAUUUUAGGUUGGGGUGACCGCGGAGAAAAAUAAAACCUCCACAAUGAAAAGACAAAUCCUAAUUCAAGAAUUACAUUUCUAAAAAUCAGAAUACUGACAUAAAUUGACCCAAACCCUUGAUCAAUGAACCAAGUUACUCUAGGGAUAACAGCGCAAUCCAUUUCAAAAGCUCUUAUUGACAAAUGGGUUUACGACCUCGAUGUUGGAUCAGGGUAUCUCUAGUGGUGCAACCGCUA
RNAcentral lists this unclassified non-coding RNA (2258 nucleotides) under Arthroleptis xenodactylus (Amani screeching frog). RNAcentral describes it as "partial contains 12S ribosomal RNA, tRNA-Val, and 16S ribosomal RNA". The stretch from base 1 to 843 matches the Rfam family "Microsporidia small subunit ribosomal RNA", at positions 308 to 1311 of the family's 1311-position model. The record is from RNAcentral. Lineage: Eukaryota; Metazoa; Chordata; Amphibia; Anura; Arthroleptidae.